This 492-nucleotide ribosomal RNA is filed under the name uncultured bacterium. RNAcentral describes it as "partial 16S ribosomal RNA". It matches the Rfam family "Bacterial small subunit ribosomal RNA", at positions 29 to 507 of the family's 1533-position model. The record is from RNAcentral.
AGUGAACGCUGGCGGUAUGCCUAACACAUGCAAGUCGAACGGCACCACAGUAAGAGCUUGCUCUUACGGGCGUCGAGUGGCGGACGGUUGCGUUAUACUUCGGAAUCUACUUUUUCGUGGGGGCUAACGUCGGGUAACUUACUCUAAUACCGCAUACGACCUACGUGUGUAGGCAGGCGUUCUUCUGACCUUUCGCGAUUGUAUGAGCCGAUGUCGGCUUAGCUAGGUGGCGGGGUAGAGGCGCUCCAAGGCGACAAUGGGUAUAGGGUCUGAAGGGAUGGUCAGCCACACGGGAAGUGAGACAGGGUACAGACUCCGACGGGAGGAAACAGUCGAGAAUAUUGGACAAGGGGGGAAAGCCUGAUCCAGCAAUACCGCGUGAGGGAAGAAGGCGUUAGGGUUGUAAAGUCAUUUUGUUGGGAGAGAAAAGCAGCAGGUUAAUACGCCGCUGUAAUGACGGUACCCAAAGAAUAAGCACCGGCUAACUUCGUG